This is a long non-coding RNA of Mobula hypostoma (lesser devil ray), 4016 nucleotides long. RefSeq lists it as uncharacterized. The transcript is spliced from 3 exons. Lineage: Eukaryota; Metazoa; Chordata; Chondrichthyes; Myliobatiformes; Myliobatidae. The record is from RefSeq and is a predicted model, not a curated record.
CUGACUUCUGACAAGGCCCAGACAUGAGGAAACGGGCGAUCAGAUGCAGCUUGAACUGCUGAGUGCUUCCAAGAUGUUCUGUUUCAUAUCUGCCUCUCCUAGUUUGGUAUGGUUCUCAAAUCAGGGGCCGUGGACAAUUCUGAUCUGAUGGAGAAUGGACGUGAAAGCACAGAGGAACAUCUGGAGAAAUUUCUGAAACGCCUGUCCGCUGCUGUUGUUACCGUGGUCGGGAAUCUUUUCGGAGGGUAGGCCUCAAAAUCCCCGGCCUUGCCUGUUUUUGGCAACCAAGAAGGAGGUUCUUCAUCAAGUUAUGGUAUUGUUACACUGUUUGUAACUAUAUGUAUAAUUAUGUGGUUUUGUCAGUUUUUUCAGUCUUGGUUUGUCCUGUAUUUUGUGAUAUCACACUGGAGGAAAUAAUGUAUCAUUUCUUAAUGCAUACAUUACUAAAUGAUAAUAAAAGGAGACUACGUGUCGUCAUAAUCUAACAUCUAAACUCUUAAUUUUAUUAUACUCAAAAAAACGGACAAAAUAAAGGCCACCAUUGAUUUGAAUUUAGAAAAUACUGAUAUAAUCCCAAAAAUAAUUGCAUUCCUUAACACAAUCUUCACAAAAUACAAUUAAAUCAAUUUUGUUCAGACACAUCAUAAACAUCAUAAACUGCAAACAAAAAGCUAGACGAAUUCUCAAGGUAUAAAGGAAACACAAUGAUGUUAUGAGAAUGAAAUAAGGUGUAAGAGAACUUAUGGAGACAAUUGCACAUUUUUUGUCAUAUGAAAGGGUCUAAAUUACUAUCGUGUUUAAACAAUGUGAGGGUCUUAACAAUUGGACAACACUAUCAGCCAACAAAAUGUUUUAGUUUCCUGAUUACUGCUGGAACUGCAUGCACUCAAGCAAACAAUAUUCCACGACACUGACAUAACUUAGCUACUUUUACCUGGAAAGUGCAGUACUGAAGAAUGCAUAGCUAGCAGAUGCACGGAAUUAGAACCUUGUGUAGUAGCUCCUAUUCAGUAUUUGAAACAGCAGUUGUCAAAUUUACAAGUGCUUCAAGUUCCUAUUAACUUGUGGAAAAGUAGUUUAUUUCCCUCACUUGUUCACAAUGUUUGAUAAAUUCCAAACAAAUUAUAAACCAAUUCUAGAAAUAGCACACAACCACAUUUGAACUCAAAGACUACCAUCAGUCUAGUAGUGUAAAUGCAUGCUUCAGGACAUACUUAUUAGGAUGCGUAUACUCAGCUCCUUUUAAUGUUUACUCAAGUCAACAGAACUAUAUGGAUAAGUCUCCAGGUCCAGACAAGAUAUUCCCUAGGACCUUGAGGGAAGUUAGUGUGGAAAUAGCAGGAGCUCUGACAGAACUAUUUCAAAUGUCAUUAGAAACGGGGAUGGUGCCGGAGGAUUGGCGUAUUGCUCAUGUGGUUCCAUUGUUUAAAAAGGGUUCUAAGAGUAAACUUAGCAAUUAUCGGCCUGUGAGUUUGACGUCAGUGGUGGGUAAAUUGAUGGAAAGUAUUCUUAGAGAUGGUAUAUAUUAUCAUCUGGAUAGACAGGGUCUGAUUAGGAACAGUCAACAUGGAUUUGUGCGUGGAAGGUCAUGUCUACAAAUCUUAUUGAAUUUUUUGAUGAGGUUACUAUGAAAGUUGAUGAGGGUAAAGCAGUGGAUGUUGUCUAUAUGGACAUCAGUAAGGCCUUUGACAAGGUUCCACACGGAAGGUUAGUUAGGAAGGUUCAAUCGUUAGGCAUUAAUAUCAAAGUAGUAAAAUGGAUUCAGCAGUGGCUGGAUGGGAGACGCCAGAGAGUAGUGGUGGAUAACUAUGUGUCAGAUUGGAGGACGGUGUGUAGCGGUGUGCCUUAGGGAUCUGUACUGGGUCCAAUGUUGUUUGUCAUAUAUAUUAACGAUCUGGAUGAUGGGAUGGUAAAUUGGGUUAGUAAGUAUGCAGAUGAUACUAAGAUAGGUGGCGUUGUGGAUAAUGAAGUAAGUUUUCAAAGCUUACAGAGAGAUUUAAGCCAGUUAGAAGAGUGGGCUGAAAGAUGGCAGAUGGAGUUUAAUGCUGAAAAAUGUGAGGUGCUACAUUUUGGUAGGACUAAUCAAAAUAGGACAUACAUGGUAAAUGGUAGAGCACUAAAGAAUGCAGUAGAACAGGGGGAUCUAGGAAUAAUGGUGCGUAGUUCCCUGAAGGUGAAAUCUCAUAUAGAUAGGAUGGUGAAGAAACCUUUUGGUAUGCUGGCCUUUAUUAAUCAGAGCAUUGAGUAUAGGAGUUGGGAUGUAAUGUUGAAAUUGUAUAAGGCAUUGGUAAGGCCAAAUUUGGAGUACUGUGUACAGUUCUGGUCACCAAAUUAUAGGAAAGAUGUCAAUAAAAUUGAGAGUACAGAGCAAGUUCACCAAAAUGUUGCCUGGGUUUCAUCUCCUAAGUUACAGAGAAAGGUUGAACAAGUUAGGUCUUUAUUCUUUGGAGCAUAGAAGGUUGAGAGGGGACUUGAUAGAGGUGUUUAAAAUUAUGAGGGGUAUUGAUAGAGUUGACGUGGAUAGGCUUUUUCCAUUGAGAGUGGGGGAGAUUCAAACAAGAGGACAUGAGUUGAGAGUUAAAGGGCAAAAGUUUAGGGGUAACAUGAGGGGGAACUUCUUUACUCAGAGAGUGGUGGCUGUGUGGAACGAGCUUCCAGCAGUAGUGGUUGAGGCAGGUUCGAUGUUGUCGUUUAAAGUUAAAUGGGAUAGAUAUAUGGACAGAAAGGGCAUGGAGGGUUAUGGACCGAGUGCAGGUCAGUGGGACUUGGUGAGAGUAGGAGUUCAGCACGGACUAGAAGGGCCGAGAUGGCCUGUUUCCAUGCUGUAAUUGUUAUAUGGUUAUAUUUAUUUGUGACCCAAAUUACUGAACGACUAUUAUUCUUUUGUUGGCUCCAAUAUGGACAAUAAUUAGACAUCCUUUAUCAGUUCAAAAGAAUCAUCUCAACUUUGCACCAGGUAAGCAACAAAACUAUACAGAAACAUAGAAAACCUAUAGCACAAUACAGGCCCUUUGGCCCACAAAGUUGUGCCAAACAUGUCCCUACCUAAGAAACCUUAUAGGCUUACCUAUAGCUCUCUAUUUUUCUAAGCUCCAUGUACCUAUCCAAAAGUCUCUUAAAAUACCCUAUCGUAUCCGCCUCCACCACUGUUGCCGGCAGCCCAUUCCACGCACUCACCACCCUGACAUCUCCUCUGUACAUAGUCUCCAGUACCUUAAACCUGUGUCCUCUUGUGGUAACCAUUUCAGCCCUGGGAAAAAGCCUCUGACUAUCCACACGAUCAAUGCCUCUCAUCUUAUACACCUAUAUACUUCUAAUACUUUUGACAAAUCUUACUAUCACCUCAGUUAGUCUCCUAAAAUUACCAAAGUUUCACCUAUCACACCUACUUUCUUUUGAAGAUUAAUGGAACCAAACUGGCACAGAAAAAUGCUCUCCUUAUCCUCAAUACAUUGUUCAGCUGGAUAGGACUAGAUAUCCCACUGCAUUUCCAGUUAUUCUGUGCAUUGCUAGUCAGGCCAACCACAAUCUCACCAAUAAGGUGUGCCCUAGUUCUGGAGUAACUGAUGCCCACGGAUCAGGCCAUAAUCUCUCAGUUGCAACAAAAAUAUCCAAAUAGCAGAGGCAUGGAAUGCCUGAUAGGGUAGUGUUAACUCUCAGCUUUCAAACAGACAGAAGGCAUACACUUGAAAUUUUAUGAAUCUGAGGUCUCUGUCAGUUAGAUUUGACCAUGGAUAUUGCAUCCUAGCUGUCUAUAUAUGCAAAUCCGGGCAGUACAAUAUGGAGAGCAAGCUGUUGCACAUGUAGCAAGCUCCCCCCCCCCCCCCAUGCAUCUGAUGAAAUCAAAGGAACAGCAGAGACUGAUACAGUUUGGUACCAUAAAAGGAAACUCAUCUAGCGGCAGGCCAAGCACAGCCUACUUUGUGCUUUAUUCUAAAUAUUCCUGGACAAUUCUUAGCUACUGCUUAUUUAGGAAAGAAUAAUAAUAAUGUGAAGAUUUAUAACAAUUAAAUUAA